UAACAUUCAAAUAUAUUUGAGUUUAGAAAAAAAAAUCUAAUGAAAUGAGCUCUUCAAAUGUAAUUUUUAAGACCCAGUUGACUGCCUGAAUAGGUGAACACAGAGCAGAUGGAAAUCUCCUCAGCAACAUGUUGACAUUUCGGUAAAUUGAAUGCACAAGUUUAAUGAACACCCAGUUAGUUACUAUGAGUUAGUUACCAAAAACAGUUUUUUGCCCUCCCCACUAAUUUCAAUGUUUCCCAAGCAUUGAUUUAUUUGUGGCGGCCCACAACAAUAUAAACCUUGACUGACACAUAUGGAUUUUCUUUUUUACUAUUUAUAUUGUGUAAAUUCUUAUUUCUUUGUAGAAAAGCACUCUCCUUGACCGGCCCUCAGGUGGACCUGUCUGUACAGCACUCCUGUCCUUGCACACUCAGAGCUGGGCUGUGGAGCUUAGCACGCAGUACAUAGCUGCUAGUCAAUAUUAACUGGAGUGGAUAACGUUAAUGUUAAUUCUUGAACUGAAUUAACACUGAAUGGUCAACAGGCAACAGCUCUCUCAGAAAAAGGGGCCUAAUUUCUGUUCUUCACUGGAUUUAUUUUGUUAGUUGUUAGAAUGUGAAGCUAUUCAGUUGUGGUCUGUACACUGUAUCGUUCAGUUAUUUAUUUGUCACAAAGUACUUGGCACUUAAAUUUGUGGAGCGAAGAUAUCACUUAUUAAUUUAUUUUAAAGAUAGCCACCCCCAUAAACUUUCCAACAACACUCUGACAUGAUGACACAUUUUCUACAGAAGCACUUAAAAUAAAGUACUGCCCAUAUCAACUUUCUGAUGAUGAUUAUUCACUACACACACAAAAGUAACAAUACCUUGUAGAUCCUCGACCAGCAUUUCCUCUCUUGCUUCAACGUAGAUUUUGGCCAGUGGGGUUUUUCCCUGAGCAAGCUUGAGCACCUUCGGCACAACACUUGUGAACACCAGCAUAAGUUGACAGAUGAUGGAUGGAUCCUGUCAACCUCAUCGUACAACUGAAAAGUUGAUAGAAAGGGGACUUGACACUUGCGGCGACCACACAGCACCACCUCCUGUCACUCACAGCGCCGUCUACUAUUUUUAUCCCUGCCAGAGUUUCGAAAAGUCCUGCCCUACUGUGCUGUAAUUGGCUAGUACUCAUCACUUGUGAUUGGAUUCUGGCAAAGGAUACAAGCAAGCCCAUAUGAAAGUGACAUGAAACGUGCUAACAAAACCAAAUGAGCAAAGCACCUGCAGGACCGACACUCCGUCCUCUAUAAAGAACGUGGAGAGGUUGGAGACGUCUCUCCCCUUUCAACAUCACUAAAGUAAUAAACAAGAUGGCCCAGUAAACUGUUGUUGAUAAGAUAGUUGUCCUGUUGUUUGCCCAACAGACAUUUGUAACUCUCUAAUCUAAGCUAAUCCCCCUCAGAGCUAUCAGACCUGAGGAAUCUCAGACAGCAGAGAUUUAGUGUAUAAGAAAUACUUUGACCAAGGUAAAUUAACUGAUGCUGUUCUGCUUAACACACAGUAUUAUUAACUCUACUAACUAAGAUAAGUUGAUUAGAUAAUUUAGUAAUUUAAUUCAGAAAUGUAAUCAAUGUUGUGUCAAUUUUCCCCUGUGGUAUGGUAUCGAAUAUCAAUAUUUUUCAAAAUAUUGUACUGAAGUUCGAAAUGCCAGUAUUUUGACAACACUAAGUUCAAUAAAGUCCUUAUAUUGAUGUGUGCUUUGAAAA
Dicentrarchus labrax (European seabass) is the source of this 1726-nucleotide long non-coding RNA. RefSeq lists it as uncharacterized. The record is from RefSeq and is a predicted model, not a curated record. The transcript is spliced from 2 exons. Lineage: Eukaryota; Metazoa; Chordata; Actinopteri; Moronidae.